UACGGGAGGCAGCAGUGGGGAAUAUUGCACAAUGGGCGCAAGCCUGAUGCAGCCAUGCCGCGUGUAUGAAGAAGGCCUUCGGGUUGUAAAGUACUUUCAGUCGUGAGGAAGGUGUUAAGGUUAAUAACCUUAGCAAUUGACGUUAGCGACAGAAGAAGCACCGGCUAACUCCGUGCCAGCAGCCGCGGUAAUACGGAGGGUGCGAGCGUUAAUCGGAAUUACUGGGCGUAAAGGGCACGCAGGCGGUUAAUUAAGUUGGAUGUGAAAUCCCCGGGCUUAACCUGGGAAUGGCAUUCAAGACUGGUUAGCUAGAGUCUUGUAGAGGGGGUUAGAAUUCCAUGUGUAGCGGUGAAAUGCGUAGAGAUGUGGAGGAUACCGGUGGCGAAGGCGGCCCCUGGGACAAGACUGACGCUCAUGUGCGAAAGCGUGGGGAGCAAACAGGAUUAGAUACC
Molecule: ribosomal RNA, 452 nt
Filed under: uncultured bacterium
Lineage: Bacteria
Description: bacterial SSU rRNA
Rfam family: Bacterial small subunit ribosomal RNA
Source: RNAcentral